RNAcentral lists this long non-coding RNA (1393 nucleotides) under Malus domestica (apple). Its description in RNAcentral is "long non-coding RNA (MDOM_LNC001843)". The record is from RNAcentral. Lineage: Eukaryota; Viridiplantae; Streptophyta; Magnoliopsida; Rosales; Rosaceae.
GGGUAUAUGACAAAUUAAUGAUUUCAGAAAGUUGAUAUGACAAAUUGCUUAUAUUUUUAGUUGAUAUGAUAAAUUGAUAUUGGGAGCAGCCUCUCCAUAAAUGGGGGUAAGGCUAGCCGACAUUCACCUCUCUCAGACCCUGCGUAAAGCGGGAGCCUUGUGCACUGGGUACGACCUUUUUUUUUUUUAUAUGAUAAAUUGAUAAAAAGUGUAUAAGUUCAUAUGGCAUUUUAAAAAAUUUCCGUAUAAUUAAAUGUUUACUCCUAUUACCACUGGAAAGGGAACCAUAAUUUUAAAAAACUAGAAGGUAAGUUUGUGAAGUACAACUAAGCUUCAGGGAGGGGAAUCUAGUAUCGUCUUUUAUGUUCUGCCAUUAUUAUUAUUUUUACUUAUUUUUAUCAUUUCAAAUAGUGUUUCCAUUAUGGAAAAGUUUGAAAAUUAACAUCCAAUCUAUGAAGUGCAGAUAAAGGUUGAAGAUUUCUUUAGUUUAUUUUUCUCCGACGAUGUGUUCACAGAAUCAUUUCAUAGAAGUUGUGGAGAUAAAGGUAAAUUCCUGGAGCGUGAUGAAUCCCUGUAUUUAGUGCAUUAUUCAGGUUUCUUGAUGGUUCUAGAAUAUUGAGGCAAAAUUCUAUGCUUGUUUUGUUUUUAAGUUUUUAAUCUGUAUGGUUUUAUGCCUUUUCAGAGUUGAAGUGUACUCCAUGGAAACCUCAUGAGUUUGGCCAUUCCCGUGAUGUUUCUUUUCAGCACCCUAUAAAAAUUUAUUUUGGUAUGGCCGUUUUUUAAUUUUAUCAUUUACUGUAUGAAUCUCUCAUGUGUGCCUACAUGCUUUGUUUGAUUCUUUUGUGUUUCAGUCUGUUUUAACACCGGACAUAAUGUUGUCAUAAAGGUGCAAAAUUUGGCAGCUGCCAGGAGCUCCAGAAAUUUCGAGUUCACAGAAACAGGUUGCUGAUAUAGUGUUUAUAAUACCAUUUUUAAAUGUUUCUUGAAUUGGUUUGCAAUUGCAUAGAUUGUGAUUAUUAUUGUGAGGAAGGGAUGACAGAUUAACUUGGUGCCAUGUCAACUUGAGUUCGCACAUUUGAAAACCUUGUUUUGUCUGGGCCAGAUGGUUAUUAUGAACUGUAAAUAAUCCAACAACUUUAUGCAGUCCACACUUUGCUUUCAUCUCAAGAAUGCGCGAGUUAUUUUCGUGACACAUUAACUUUGACUUUUGCCAGCCACUUAGUUAUUGAGACAUCACAAGAAAUCAAUGAUGUGCCUUAUGGAGAUUAUUUCCGUGUUGAGGUAUAAGUUGCAUUUCAUCCAAUUUCAUAAUUCACAUUACAUGUUUUAGAUGAUAUCUUUCUUAAAAAUUUAUUGAUUACCUUGCUAAACCUUUGCCAUUGUAAUAAAAUAG